CUUGAUCCUCUCAGUAGACAAACAGUUGCCUUAGUGCUUAAUCCAUGCGUAUCUUAAAAUGGUUCAACCACGAAUAGCUCUUUUAAUCAGCAGUGGUUCCUUAGAUUAUGCACAUAACUUGGGUAACUGUAAAAUUCUAGCGCUAAUGCAUGUCAUUAUGCCCUUAUCUUGACGAAAAGAACGGGUAAAUUUACUAGAAAAAGACCAACCCAAAGCAGUUUCAGCUAUCCCUGUGGAAUUUUGUGAUGACUGUGGAUAUCUUCGGUGAAUGCAGUGGACCGUGUGUUGACGAUGAAUCUUCCAUAACUCCGCCCUAUCAAUUUGCUGGUUAGUUAAUCUGCCAAUCUUGAUAAUAAAGUAUGAGGCGAAUCAAAGCUCGAUUGCCUAGAGGGUGCCCGAGAAUUAGACGUCACAUCGAAGGGUGGUAGCAGGUGAAAAAAUCACCCACUUUCAGAACGCGGAGUUAGUGACUAAACAUAUGAUAACGAGACUCAACUGUAACUCCGUAAUUCCAAUGAGUACAAUUUAUAUCGCUUAACGACAACCAAUUGAAGGCUAAGCCUAGGGUGAACAGUCGCAUUAACUAAAGGUGUACA
Molecule: non-coding RNA, 596 nt
Filed under: Trichobilharzia regenti
Lineage: Eukaryota; Metazoa; Platyhelminthes; Trematoda; Strigeidida; Schistosomatidae
Description: Eukaryotic small subunit ribosomal RNA
Rfam family: Eukaryotic small subunit ribosomal RNA
Source: Rfam by way of RNAcentral